Molecule: ribosomal RNA, 429 nt
Filed under: Chloroflexota bacterium
Lineage: Bacteria; Bacillati; Chloroflexota
Description: Chloroflexi bacterium partial 16S ribosomal RNA
Rfam family: Bacterial small subunit ribosomal RNA
Source: RNAcentral
UGGGGAAUAUUGCACAAUGGGCGCAAGCCUGAUGCAGCCAUGCCGCGUGUAUGAAGAAGGCCUUCGGGUUGUAAAGUACUUUCAGCGGGGAGGAAGGGAGUAAAGUUAAUACCUUUACUCAUUGACGUUACCCGCAGAAGAAGCACCGGCUAACUCCGUGCCAGCAGCCGCGGUAAUACGGAGGGUGCAAGCGUUAAUCGGAAUUACUGGGAGUAAAGCGCACGCAGGCGGUUUGUUAAGUCAGAUGUGAAAUCCCCGGGCUCAACCUGGGAACUGCAUCUGAUACUGGCAAGCUUGAGUCUCGUAGAGGGGGGUAGAAUUCCAGGUGUAGCGGUGAGAUGCGUAGAGAUCUGGAGGAAUACCGGUGGCGAAGGCGGCCCCCUGGACGAAGACUGACGCUCAGGUGCGAAAGCGUGGGGAGCAAACAGG